Molecule: long non-coding RNA, 794 nt
Filed under: Volvox carteri
Lineage: Eukaryota; Viridiplantae; Chlorophyta; Chlorophyceae; Chlamydomonadales; Volvocaceae
Description: long non-coding RNA (VCAR_LNC000632)
Source: RNAcentral
AGGACAAAGGCGCGAGCGCGAACGUGAGGGGAAUGAAUGAGAGAAUCACGAGGGUAGGUUAAGCCAUACGCAAGCAUGUGCAAGAGGACAGGUAAGGAAGCGGGCUGGCAGCCAGUAAGGCAAAGGACUUUCAUGCUGCAGACCGUCGCACUUUCUCAGGAAAGUGUGCGUGGACGGGAUUGAUGGUAAGGUUGGGAAACAACGUAAUGCGUCGCACUUCCACACGCACUUCCACACACGCACGAUGCGCAGGUGUCGCUUGUCAAGAACUAAAUAAAGUGUCCGCAGACAACCCCCCUUACAUGCGGCAAACAUUCCCCCUGCCCUCCCAGGAGUUGACAGCGGCAUUCGUAAGAGAAUAUUUGCAUGGAGUGAGUUUUACUAUGGUUUUUAUUGCUUCACAAGCGGUCCAGCAGACUAGCAACUCACCGCUACCGGCGGCGGUGGUGACGAUGUCGGUGGCGGCGACCGACGCGUUGGUGGGGGACGAGGCGGAGGCCGGGGUGGCGGUGGGCUUGGCGGUGGGGGCGUCGGCGGCCGUGGACUAGGCGGCGGCGGGCUUGGCGGUGGUGGGUUAGGAGGCGGUGGGCUUGGCGGUGGAGGGCUUGGCGGUGGUGGGCUUGGCGGUGGAGGGUUUGGCGGCGGUGGGCUUGGUGGUGGAGGGUUUGGCGGCGGUGGGCUUGGAGGUGGAGGGCUUGGCGGCGGUGCGCUUGGCGGAUCGGGGCUUGGCGGGUCAGGGCUUGGCGGAUUGGGGCUUGGCGGGUCAGGGCUUGUUGGCAAGUUAGGCCAUGCAG